GAACCAGACUCCUACGGGAGGCAGCAGUGGGGAAUAUUGCACAAUGGGCGCAAGCCUGAUGCAGCCAUGCCGCGUGUAUGAGGAAGGCCUUCGGGUUGUAAAUUACUUUCAGCGGGGAGGAAGGCGAUAAGGUUAAUAACCUUGUCGAUUGACGUUACCCGCAGAAGAAGCACCGGCUAACUCCGUGCCAGCAGCCGCGGUAAUACGGAGGGUGCAAGCGUUAAUCGGAAUUACUGGGCGUAAAGCGCACGCAGGCGGUCUGUCAAGUCGGAUGUGAAAUCCCCGGGCUCAACCUGGGGACUGCAUUCGAAACUGGCAGGCUGGAGUCUUGUAGGGGGGGGUAGAAUUCCAGGUGUAGCGGUGAAAUGCGUAGAGAUCUGGAGGAAUACCGGUGGCGAAGGCGGCCCCCUGGACAAAGACUGACGCUCAGGUGCGAAAGCGUGGGGAGCAAACAGGAUUAGAUACCCCAGUAAG
Molecule: ribosomal RNA, 474 nt
Filed under: uncultured bacterium
Lineage: Bacteria
Description: bacterial SSU rRNA
Rfam family: Bacterial small subunit ribosomal RNA
Source: RNAcentral